AAGCACAUGGUUUUUAAAAUCACAAAAAGAUAUUUUUGUCUUGAAAAAAGUUUUCUCUGAAAGCUUUUUUAAAAGCUGCUCAGUCCUAGCACUUAAGGUCUAAGAAACAAAAUUUUCAUUCCUAAAACUCUUUUUCCCCACUCCUUCCUUCUGUAACACUGUGAGAAGAAUUCAAAAGGGAGCCUUGCUUUUAUUCAGAAAAGGUCAGUUUCUUUUAAAAGAGCAUAAAAGAGACUAGUUAAAACUAAUAUAUAUAUAAAGCACUUUUAAAACUUAUGGGAAGCUUGGCUUCCCAAUUUUAGUCUCAGUACUUGUUAGGUAAGGAUCCAGUGAAUUUCAGACUCCUGGUUAUGGAAAGAAGGCCUAAGCAUCUUUAACAUUUUUUUUUUCCUGAAUAAUUAACAUGCUGAAAUAAACAAAUGAACAUACAUACUGAGAAAGACUUACUUCUC
This 452-nucleotide long non-coding RNA is filed under the name Bos taurus (domestic cattle). Its description in RNAcentral is "long non-coding RNA NONBTAT001753". Lineage: Eukaryota; Metazoa; Chordata; Mammalia; Artiodactyla; Bovidae. The record is from RNAcentral.